Molecule: unclassified non-coding RNA, 1972 nt
Filed under: Hevea brasiliensis (rubber tree)
Lineage: Eukaryota; Viridiplantae; Streptophyta; Magnoliopsida; Malpighiales; Euphorbiaceae
Source: RNAcentral
GGAAAGCUUAAUAAAAAGAGAAAAGGAAAACAAAAUUCAUAUUUUCCUUUAAUUAUUUGAAAACCCAUCUCCAUUUCCCCCCCCUCUCUCUCUCUCUCAAUGUCAAAGUUCGACUACCCAAGACUGUCCCGCGCCGAAAUAGUGACGGUAUUGGCAGAGUCACAGAUCGCCGCAGUUGUAGAGAACGAUAUAAAGAACCCAAACCCAGAUUUCUUGUCUGAUCUCUAUACCCGACUUCUGAUCCACCUUGAUCUUCUUCACGAAGAAGAUCAAGGGCAGGUGGAGUUCGCUGCUUUGGAGCAGCUUGAGAACCCAGACCAUCACGCGGACUCUGUUAGGACCAUGAAUAUGUAUAUUAGGAUAAGAGAGAUGUUGGGCUUGGUGGAUUGCCCAAUAAAAUUUACCCUCAAAGAUCUUUUGAGGCCACAAGGAGACCGGACUGAAAUUUUUCUAAGUGCAAUACUCAAUUUCUGUCUUCACAAAGAAUCAAAAAUGAAUCUACUAAGACCAAUGGGGGAGGAACUCACACUUCUUGAUGAUCAGCGGAGGGAAUGGGAGGAUAAGAUUUCACAGUUGAAUGCACAAAUAUCUGACUAUAAUGAAGCAAGGGAAAGGGAGUUGCCACUUGUGCAAGAGGUAGAUGCCAACGUUAAAGAAUUGCAUCAGACCAUUGCAGGCCUCAACAAUCACCAGUUGUCACUCAGAGCUUCUUUCCGAAAAUUAAAGGAGAAGACUGGGGAAAUGGACGAGGAGAUUUCAAAAGCAGAGUUUGAUCUGGUACAAAGUGUCCAAGAAAAUGCAAGCCUACGUUCAAAAAUUGUUCAAUCGCCUGAUAAAUUGCAGAGGGCUUUGGAGGAGAAGAAAUCAUUUCGGGAAGAGGCAAGAAAUGCUGAAAGAUUAGCAAUGCAGUCCUUUCAAGAGAAGACUUCCAUUAUAGAGGUUUAUUUGAAGACUUUUAAGAAAAUGUCAAAGCACCUCAAACAAAUGCAGGCUAUACAUGAACAGGUCAGCGCUCCCUCCACCAUCUCCCCCCUCACCCCUCUUUCUCGUUUUGUUCUCUCCAACUUAAUACUAAUAGUAAUUAAUCUUAUAUUGUCAUGUGGAUUCAUAUCUUUCUUUUCCCUGAAGUGGCUUUUGAUUUUGUAUUAAUCAUGCAAUGAUAUUACCAAAAUGUUGCAAUCUGUAAAUUGUAACUGUAAUAGGUAAAUUCUGCAAAGUCCAUCGAGAAAGACUACAAGACCCUAAAAGCUAAGCUGAGCGACGAUGGAGUGUUGGAUAAGUCACUUGAUGCCAAACUAGUUGAACGGCAAGCUAAAGCACAACAGUUGGAUGAGUUGAGAAAGAUAUUGGAGAAAGAAGGAAAUGUGAAGAGUGAAGAGGCUACAAAAGAAUUUAAUAAUGUUAAGUUGGAGGUGGAAUCAAAGAGGGGUGAUCUGGAAGCAAGGCAAAGGAAGGUUGAAUCUGUAGUAUCAGAGGUUGAUGCUAUUACAUCAAAAACAAAUUUGGUGAAAGAAUCUGGAGCUGCUAAAGUGCAAGAGUUAGUUCACAAAUGUGAAGAGGUUGUAGAACAGUUUCAACAAUAUAAGAAUUCUAUGGAGCUUUUGCUGCAGUGAUGAAUGCAUUUGCCAAGUAAUGCAUAGUCUAGUUUGGCAUUAGUGUUUCAACAAUGUAAGAAUUCUGCGUUUGGCGUUGGUGAUGAAUAUAUUUGCCAAGUAAUGCAUAGUGUAGUUUGUUGUUUAAACUUGUAUCAAAGCCACUCACAUAUCCCCUAUUAUGUAAGUCAAGCUAUUAUUGGUGUUCAUUUAUCUCAUCAUUUAUGCUACUUGGUCAAGCAUCCUAAGGAAUGCUCUUCACUGUGUUGGAAAGUGAGGAAAUGCCAUUAAGUGGCAUUGAAAUUGGAGGGCUAAAAUUAUUUUUUACGAAAAAAAUAUCAUUUUAGAGUCUGUUUGGCAUUGUUAUAUUUUACUGUUGC